This 864-nucleotide ribosomal RNA is filed under the name uncultured archaeon. RNAcentral describes it as "bacterial SSU rRNA". It matches the Rfam family "Archaeal small subunit ribosomal RNA", at positions 5 to 873 of the family's 1478-position model. The record is from RNAcentral.
CGGUUGAUCCUGCCAGAGGUUACUGCUAUCGGGGUCCGACUAAGCCAUGGGAGUUGAGAGGGGUAAGCCCUCGGCAUACUGCUCAGUAACACGCGGAUAACCUGCCCUUGGGUUCGGGAUAACCCCGGGAAACUGGGACUAAUACCGGAUAGAUCAAAGAAACUGGAAUGUUCUCUGGUUAAAAACUCCGGUGCCCAAGGAUGGGUCUGCGGCCUAUCAGGUAGUAGUGGGUGUAACGUACCUACUAGCCUGCGACGGGUAAGGGUUGUGAGAGCAAGAGCCCUGAGAUGGAUUCUGAGACAUGAAUCCAGGCCCUACGGGGUGCAGCAGGCGCGAAAACUUUACACUGCGGGAAACCGCGAUAAGGGGACCCUGAGUGCCAGCACCUAGUGCUGGCUGUCCAGCUGUCCAAAUAACAGUUGUUAGCAAGGGCCGGGCAAGACCGGUGCCAGCCGCCGCGGUAACACCGGCGGCCCGAGUGGUAGCCGUUAUUAUUGGGUUUAAAGGGUCCGUAGCCGGCCUAUUAAGUCUCUUGGGAAAUCUGGCGACUCAAUCGUCAGUCGUCCAAGAGAUACUGGUAGGCUUGGGACCGGGAGAGGUGGGAGGUACUCCAGGGGUAGGGGUGAAAUCUCGUAAUCCUUGGGGGACCACCGAUGGCGAAGGCAUCCCACCAGAACGGGUCCGACGGUGAGGGACGAAAGCUGGGGGCACGAACCGGAUUAGAUACCCGGGUAGUCCCAGCCGUAAACGAUGCUCGCUAGGUGUCAGGUGCGGUGCGACCGCAUCUGGUGCCGCAGUGAAAACUUGAAGCGAGUCACCUGGGAAGUACGGUCGCAAGGCUGAAACUUAAAGGAAUUGGCGGGG